ACUUGCAUGAGUUAAUACCCACC
Molecule: microRNA, 23 nt
Filed under: Mus musculus (house mouse)
Lineage: Eukaryota; Metazoa; Chordata; Mammalia; Rodentia; Muridae
Description: mmu-miR-7241-5p
Source: miRBase by way of RNAcentral